UAUCUAUCACUGGCUUGACGCUUCCAAACCCUUGUAUGGAUAUUGUUCUAAACUUUAUUUGUGAUGCAUACCAUGACAAAAGUGGAAAUUGGGUUAUGCCUGAGUCACUGCAAAUGAAGAAAGAAUUGUCAAGCCGCUGAGAAGUGUUUGAACUAAAAAGCAACCAAACUAAGAACAGGCAUUUUAUCAGACAUGAAGAUUGUUCAGAUAUUCUAGAAUGGAUACAGAGAACACAAGGCUGAAACAAUGAAUUGUCAUUUAAUAUUCACUUCCUUGGUGCUUGAUUUUUGCCAAAGCAUCUGAUAUGAUCAGACAGAACUAUACUUGAGUAGGGAUAAUCUUCUCCUUACCGGCCAAAAAAUCUCAUCAUAGAGUUUGUUUCUUUGGAUAGGUUAGCUUUUAAGGCUCCAGCUUACUGCAGCUUUUAUGUUGAGUCCUAUAAUUCUUUUCUUGAGAUGAUGUCCCAAGUAGAUGGGCACGCACUAUAAUUCAUUUCUCUGUUUAAAAUGUUGGCUUCAAUGAUUGGGAAAUACGCCAUUUUUUGGUCUUGUAUUGGUUAGAUUUCUCAUUUGAUAGUUUACAAUGUUUGUAUUUAACGACAUACUGUUCGUUUGGUAAAUGGACCAAAUGAAUGCACAAUCUAAUUCAAGAAUAGGAUGUUCAAAUGAUU
Molecule: long non-coding RNA, 670 nt
Filed under: Rosa chinensis
Lineage: Eukaryota; Viridiplantae; Streptophyta; Magnoliopsida; Rosales; Rosaceae
Description: sRNA RchiOBHm_Chr6g0274611
Source: RNAcentral